This 434-nucleotide ribosomal RNA is filed under the name uncultured bacterium. RNAcentral describes it as "partial 16S ribosomal RNA". It matches the Rfam family "Bacterial small subunit ribosomal RNA", at positions 355 to 780 of the family's 1533-position model. The record is from RNAcentral.
UAGGGAAUCUUCCACAAUGGACGCAAGUCUGAUGGAGCAACGCCGCGUGAGUGAAGAAGGUUUUCGGACCGUAAAGCUCUGUUGUUGGUGAAGAAAGGAUAGAGGUAGUAACUGGCCUUUAUUUGACGGUAAUCAACCAGAAAGUCACGGCUAACUACGUGCCAGCAGCCGCGGUAAUACGUAGGUGGCAAGCGUUGUCCGGAUUUAUUGGGCGUAAAGCGAGCGCAGGCGGAAGAAUAAGUCUGAUGUGAAAGCCCUCGGCUUAACCGAGGAAUUGCAUCGGAAACUGUUUUCUUGAGUGCAGAAGAGGAGAGUAGAACUCCAUGUGUAGCGGUGGAAUGCGUAGAUAUAUGGAAGAAUACCAGUGGCGAAGGCGGCUCUCUGGUCUGCAACUGACGCUGAGGCUCGAAAAGCAUGGGUAGCGAACAGGAUUA